RNAcentral lists this long non-coding RNA (303 nucleotides) under Elaeis guineensis (African oil palm). RNAcentral describes it as "long non-coding RNA (EGUI_LNC074297)". The record is from RNAcentral. Lineage: Eukaryota; Viridiplantae; Streptophyta; Magnoliopsida; Arecales; Arecaceae.
CCCCUUUCCUUUUCAUGUUUGAGUGAGGAUUUUUCCCCCUACUCUUAACGGGGUCGUGAAGGCGUAGAGGUAUCGUUAAGGAAGGUCUCCUCCCUGCCGAUCAACCAAGCCUUUAUUUACGUCGGGAUGAGGUCUUCCCUGUGUUCUCAACAGUCAGAUUUAGCUCGUGUCAGGACAAGAUUCUCUUCCUGUUCCUAGCAAGGCUGUGGGGGCACAUCAGGGCCGUUAUGAGGGCCUCUCCCUCCAUCCGAUCUUUUAGAAAAUUGGGCCUUCGACUUUGCUCAUGUUAGGACGAGGUUCUCC